AUUGAACGCUGGCGGCAGGCCUAACACAUGCAAGUCGAACGGUAACAGGAAGCAGCUUGCUGCUUCGCUGACGAGUGGCGGACGGGUGAGUAAUGUCUGGGAAGCUGCCUGAUGGAGGGGGAUAACUACUGGAAACGGUAGCUAAUACCGCAUAAUGUCGCAAGACCAAAGAGGGGGACCUUCGGGCCUCUUGCCAUCGGAUGUGCCCAGAUGGGAUUAGCUUGUUGGUGGGGUAACGGCUCACCAAGGCGACGAUCCCUAGCUGGUCUGAGAGGAUGACCAGCCACACUGGAACUGAGACACGGUCCAGACUCCUACGGGAGGCAGCAGUGGGGAAUAUUGCACAAUGGGCGCAAGCCUGAUGCAGCCAUGCCGCGUGUAUGAAGAAGGCCUUCGGGUUGCAAAGUACUUUCAGCGGGGAGGAAGGGAGUAAAGUUAAUACCUUUGCUCAUUGGCGUUACCCGCAGAAGAAGCACCGGCUAACUCCGUG
This 490-nucleotide ribosomal RNA is filed under the name uncultured bacterium. RNAcentral's name for it is "partial 16S ribosomal RNA". It matches the Rfam family "Bacterial small subunit ribosomal RNA", at positions 30 to 507 of the family's 1533-position model. The record is from RNAcentral.